Molecule: small RNA, 286 nt
Filed under: Sulfitobacter mediterraneus
Lineage: Bacteria; Pseudomonadati; Pseudomonadota; Alphaproteobacteria; Rhodobacterales; Roseobacteraceae
Description: 5' ureB small RNA
Rfam family: 5' ureB small RNA
Source: Rfam by way of RNAcentral
CGUCUUCGAUCUGUUGCGGACAGAUGAAAUGGAUGUGGCUGUCAAAACCACCCGCGGUCAGGAUGCGCCCUUCACCUGCAAUCGCCUCGGUGCCGGGGCCGACGAUGAUGUCCACGCCGGGUUGCGUAUCGGGGUUGCCCGCUUUGCCGAUCUUGGCGAUGCGUCCAUCUUUCAACCCGACGUCCGCUUUGUAGAUGCCGGUAUGAUCCACAAUCAAAGCGUUGGUGAUGACCGUAUCCACGGCGCCAUCAGCCCGCGUUGUCUGUGCCUGUCCCAUGCCGUCGCG